UACGGAGGGUGCAAGCAUUAAUCGGAUUUAUUGGGCGUAAAGGGCGCGUAGGCGGACGAACAAGUUAGAUGUGAAAGCCCAGGGCUCAACCCUGGAAUAGCAUUUAAAACUGUUCAUCUAGAGGGUAGGCGGAGAAAAUGGAAUUCCACAUGUAGCGGUGAAAUGCGUAGAUAUGUGGAAGAACACCGGUGGCGAAGGCGAUUUUCUAGUUUAUACCUGACGCUGAGGCGCGAAAGCAAGGGGAGCAAACAGG
RNAcentral lists this ribosomal RNA (253 nucleotides) under uncultured bacterium. RNAcentral's name for it is "partial 16S ribosomal RNA". It matches the Rfam family "Bacterial small subunit ribosomal RNA", at positions 524 to 776 of the family's 1533-position model. The record is from RNAcentral.